UGGGGGUGAGAUGUGGGGUUGUGGGGAAGGGGAUAUGGGUUCGGGUUUUCUGGUUUUUUUUUUUUUUUUAGGGUUAAUAUUAUAAUAUUGUUAAUGUAUAAAAAUUUAUUUUUUUUUGCCAUGUGGCAGCCACAUCAGCACAAAUGUGGCAGCCACGUCAGCAUUUAACAGACCAUUGGAUGGAAAAUCUAACGGAGGUGUUGUUUUGAAAUAAAAUAGUACGUGAGGUAUGAAAGUGAAAUGUUUUAAAGAUGUUGUAUGAGGUUGUAAUAGACCUCAAACCUGAGGGGUUUCUAUGUAAUUUACUCAAAUAAUAUUUGUAUUAAUGAUUUAGGGGUUACAAUCUCUUUUACAAAUUUAGCCUCUGAUUUUAUCAUUGUAAUGGGUAGAUUUGAUGUUGUUGAUCCAAAAGGCCGUCGGGGCUUGAUCCUGGAUGAACGAUUGAUGAAUGAUGAACACUUUCUUCAAGGGCCGUCGGGGCUUGAUCUUGAAUUAGUGGAAGUUUCUUCAAGGGCCGUUGGGGCUUGAUCUUGAAGGAGGAUUUUUACGAAGAACGAAGAGGGCUUUCUUGAUUCUUCAGGAUUUGCUUGAGAGCUUUAGAGUUUCAAGGCUUCAAGGCUUUGGUGUGGCAUGAAUUCUCUUCCAAUUUGAGAGUAGAGAAAAUGUGUGUGAAUUCCCCCUAUUGCUUGAUAGAGAAGCCUAUUUAUAGGCUUUGAGAAUGAAUCACCACCAUCCAUUUGUUUGGUGAAAUAAGUGGAUGUUGUAGGUGGGAUGAGUGUGUGUUGUAGGUAAGGUGAGUGUAUGAUGUAUGUUAAGUGAGUGUAUGAUGUAGGUGAUAUGAAUGGGGUUUGUAAUUUUAAUACAAUUGUCAAUACUUAUUUCACCGAAAUUUCAAUGUUUACAGUCUCGAUGCGUGCUAGGGAGUAGUAGUGCGAACCUCAGGUAAGUGGGUCUUUUCCUUUAUAUUAUAUAUAUAUAUAUAUAUAUGUGUGUGUACAGGCGCUUUAUGCAAAGGGAUCCCCAUUUUUUGAAAAAAAAUGGGGAUUAGGUGUGGGGCUCACUCCACAUCGAACUUCAACGAUCUGAGCCGUCUAUUUUGUAAGUCUCGAUUCAUAGAUCAUUCUUGCAAAAAUUCAAUUUAAUCCGAAACCAUUUGCCUAUUUAAUUAUCAAGAUAAAAUUUCAUUGUUUCUUAUAUAACAAAGUAUUCGUUCAUUUCUUUGAACCCAAUUAGAUGUCUUAAACAUUUCCGAUUUGGCUAAUAUUUUGUAAAGAUAAUCUAUGAGGUGCAACUUGAAAAAUAGACGGUUCAGAUCGUUAAAGUUCGAUGUAAUGUGGACCCCGCAACUAAUCCCCAUUUUUAUAAAAAAAUGGGGAUCCCUUUCCUUAAAGAUUUCCUAUAUAUGUAUAUGUAUAUGUAUAUAUAUAUAUAUAUAUAUAUAUAUAUAUAUAUGAUUGAUAAUUUCACAAAUGGUUAUAAAUUGAUUACUGCAUAUCAUUAUUGUGAAUGCUUUGAAGUACUAAUGCUAACUAUGAAUGGCUUGAUCCCCAUUUAAGGUACGUAGGCAGUCUAACGAGACGUUAGAUGCAGCCAUAUAAUAGUUGAAACAAAAACCUUGUUUGGGAAUUGAGCAAUGUGAAGGAAAUUGGUGAAAAUAUGAGAUUUAACCUUAUGUUUUUAGUGAUUGGAGGUUGGUCAUAAAUCAAUAUGGAAGGAAUCAAGAAAUUAAAAUAAGGAAACGUGAGUAAUGAUAGUUAAUUAAACCAGUGUUUGUUUAGUUGGACUUAUCCCCGAUAAUUAUUUUUGAAAAUAAAUAAUUCGGGAGUAGGGCGUUAUAGAUUGUGUGUUUUACGCCACAUUAUAUUUACAUGUAUUUAUUGGAAAAAUACUAUGAUAUGGUUGAGUUUUAGAUUUGCAUUAUGGCAUAUCCAUGUGUAUACUACCUGCAUAAAAUUAUUAUGAAUGCUUUGAAAUGCGAAGGUGAACGCAGAACACACAGGUAAGUUCAUAUGAGUUAUGGUAUUAGUGGAAAUGAUUGAGUUAUGGCAUGAUCACAUUUAUGUUUUAGGCAACUCUGACAUUGUUGUACAUGUUGCCUAUGAGUUGUAUAUGUCAUAUGAGAUGCAUUUAGAGCUCAUAAACCUGCACCUCGGAGUUAGUGCUCCUGCCUGUGGCCAGGGCACAAUCCUUCACAUGAUGUUCACCUCCCACACCAUACGUUCACCUUGGAUUCAAGGUAGGUGCACAGUCCUAUCGUACAGACCACUAUAGGUGGUUCUGACUAGUAGGUGACCCGUGAUUAUUCGCAGUCUUCACGUGAUAUUAGCACUUGAGCGUAUUUAUUUACACCUAGUCCUAUUGUACAGACCACUUUAGGUGGUUCCGACUUGUGUGCAGGUAUACUUAUUGAGCUAUGGAUAAAUCGUUCAGGUCACUAGAGGUGAGUCCGACUUAUGAGCUAGCAUAUGUGAUGAGCUAGCAUAUGUGAUGAGAUAUGUGAUGAGCUAGCAUAUGUAAUGAAAUAUGUGAUGAGCUAGCAUAUGUGAUGAAAUAUAUGAUGAGCUAGCCUAUGUGAUGAGAUAUGUGAUGAGCUAGCAUAUGUGAUGAGAUAUGUGAUGAGCUAGCAUAUGUGAUGAUAUGUGACGAGCUAGCCUAUGUGAUGAAAUAUGUGACGAGCUAGCAUAUGUGAUGAAAUAUGUGAUAAGCUAGGAGGAGCUAGCAUAUGUGAUGAAAUAUGUGAUGAGCUAGCAUAUGUAAUGAAAUAUGUGAUGAGCUAGCAUAUGUAAUGAAAUAUGUGAUGAGCUAGCAUAGGUGAUGAAAUAUGUGAUGUGCUAGUAUAUGUAAUGAAAUAUGUGAUGAGCUAGCAUAUGUGAUGAGCUAGCAUAUAUGAUGAGAUAUAGGGGCAGUCGUACAGGUCACCAUAGGUGACUCCGACUUGCAUGUUAGUAUGGGUUAUUAAUCAUAUGAUUAUUGAUAUUGCUGAUGAGAUGUUGUGUUAUGGUAUAUUUAUGAUUUUUUUGGAAACUAUACAGGUAUUGUAGCGAGGGGUUAUAAUGUUUUAUAUGGUUUCUAUUAAAAUUUUAUUUCUAAGGCCACUCACCUUGUAUUGUUUUCACCCUUCAGGUUUUAUUAGUGGAGCUUUCUUAUUGUUGAAGAUUCAUGGCGAUUCUUAGUAUUGGAGAUUCUUUCGAGGGUAUGGUUCUUAAUUCACUCUACUGUACUUACUUAUACUCUAAGGUUUAAAUUUAUUCACAUUUUUCCACAUCAUCACACUUUAUGGCUUCCUCACCUUCAAGGUGUCGGCAAGCACAGCUCAAUUCAGAGUCAUAGUGGACAUUCCGAGUCGCGGUGUGUCAACUAAGGCCCUAAAAAUGUGUACUCAAAAGAUAAAAAAUUUAUUGGGUGUAAAAAAAACUUAGUUUUUCUAUUUUGAGUGCAUUUCAAAUUUUUUCCACAUUAAUAAAAACAAGCAAGCAUGCUUUUGACACCUUGUGGCACUUAAGUGAAUAAACACACAUAAUGCGCUCCUAGGACCCUAACAGUGAGUAAACAAAAGAUCAAACGCUUAUUGAGUGCAAAAAGUACACAAUUUUUUAUUUUGAGUGCAUUUGGACUAUUUUUUGGCAUUAAUAAAAACUAACAAGCGUGCGUUCGACAACCAUUGGAACUCAAGGAAAUAAACAUAUAUAAUGCACUACUUGGACCAUAAGAAUGUGCACUCAAAAGAUAAAAUACUUAUUGGGUGUCAAAGGUACACUAUUUUUUGCAUUAAUAAAAGCAAACAUGCAUUUGACACCCAACGGAAAUUAAGCAAAUAAACACAUAUAAUGCGCUACUAGGGCCCUAGGAAUGUGUGCUCAAAAUAUCAAAAGUUUAUUGGGUGUCAAAAAUACAUAGUUUUUCUAUUUUGAGUGCAUUUCAAUUGCUUUCCACAUUAAUAAAAACAAACGAGAGUGCAUUUUACAUCCAUUGGAACUUAAGCAAAUAAACACAUAUAAUGUGGUACUACGACCAUGCGAAUGUGUACUUAAAAUAUCAAAAGCUUAUUUGGUUGUACUGUUUUUCACAUUAUUAAAACCAAAUGAUCGUGCAUUUGACAACCUUUGGAACGCAAGCAGACAAACGCAUAUAACGCGCCACUAGGACCAUAAAAUUGUUCACUCAAUGGAACUUAAGCAAAUAAACGCAUGUAAUGGGCCACUAGGACCGCAAGAAUGUGUAGUCAAAGGAUCAAAAGCUUAUUGGGUGUCAAAAGUACACAGGUUUUUUUUUUUUUUUGAGUGCAUUUGGACUAUUUUCCGCAUUAAUAAGAACAAAGGAGCAUGCGUUUGAAACAAUAUGGAACUUAAGCAAAUAAACACAUAUAAUGUGGUACUAGGACCAUAAGAAUGAGUACUUAAAAAAUCGAAAGCUGAUUAAGUGUCAAAAGUACCCAGUUUUUCUAUUUUGUGUGCAUUUGGACUGUUUUCCUCAUUAAUAAAAACAAAUGAGCGUACGUUUGACACAAAUUGGAACUUAAGCAAAUAAAUACAUUUAACAUGCUGCUUGGAUCAUAAUUAUGAGUACUCAAAAGAUCAAAAGCUCAUAGGGAGUCAAAAGUACAUAAUUUUUCUAUUUUGAGUGCAUUUCCACUGUUUUCGGCAUUAAUAAGAACAAACGAGCAUGCAUUUGACAACCAUUAGAACUCAAGGAAAUAAACACAUAUAAUUCCCUUCUAAGACCCAAAGAAUGUGUACUCAAAAGAUCCAAAGCUUAUUGGGUGUCGAAAGUACACAGUUUUUCUAUUUUGAGUGCUUCGGACUAUUUUCCAUAUUAAUAAAAACAAAUGAGCUUGCGUUUGACAUCAUAUGGAACUUAAGGGAAUAAAAACAUUUGAUGCACUACUCGGACCAUAGGAAUGCGUACUCAAAAGAUAAGCAACUAAACAAAUAUAAUGCGCGACUAGCGUGUGUUUCACACCCUUUCAAAGUUAAGCAAAUAAACACAUAUAAUGUGUGACUAGGACCACAAGAAUGAGUACUCAAAAAAUGAAAAGUUGAUUGGGUGUCAAAAGUAUAAAGUUUUUCUAUUUUGAAUCCAUUUGGACUGUUUUUGGUAUUAAUAAAAACAAACGAGCGUGCGUUUGACAACCAUUGGAACUUGAGCAAAUAAACACAUAUAAUGCAUUACUUAGACCAUAAGAGCGUGCGUUUGACACCAAUUGGAACUCAAGCAAAUAAACAAAUAUAAUGCGCUGCUAGGACCAUAAUAAUGAGUACUCAAAAGAUCAAAAGCUUAUUGGGUGUCAAAAGUACACAGUUUUUCUAUUUUGUGUUCAUUUGCACAGUUUUCAAAAUUAAUAAAAACAAACGAGCGGGUGUUUGACAACCAUUGGAACACAAGGAAAUAAACACAUAAAAUGCGCUACUACGACCAUAAUAAUAAGUUCCCAAAAGAUCAAAAGCUUAUUGAGUGUGAAAAGUACACAAUUUUUCUAUUUUGAGUCCAUUUGGACUAUUUUCGGAAUUAAUAAAAACAAAUGAGCAUGCAUUUUACAACCAUUGGAACUCAAGGAAAUAAGCACAUAUUAUGCACUUCUAGGACUUUAAGAAUGUGCACUCAAAAGAUCAAAAACUUAUUAGGUGUCAAAAGUACACAAUUUUUAAUUUUGAGUGCUUUUGUACUGGUUUCUGCAUUAAUAAAAACAUAUGAGCGUGCAGUUGACACCUUAUGGAACUUAUGAAAAUAAAAACAUAUAAUACACCACUAGGACCAAUAGAAUGAGUACUCAGAAGAUUAAAAGGAUAUUAGGUUUCAAAAGUACACAGUUUUUCUAUUUUUAGUGCAUUUGAAUUGUUUUCCGCAUUAAUAAAAAUAAACGAGCGUGAGCUUGCACCAAUUAGAAGCCAAGCAAAUAAACACAAAUAAUGCAGUGCUAGUACCACCAAAAUGUUCACUCAAUAGAUCAAAAACUUAUUGGGUGUCAAAAUACACGGUUUUUAAAUUUUGAGUGCAUUUGUACUGUUUUCUGAAUUAAUAAAAACAAAUGAGCUUGCCGUUGACACCCAUUGGAACUUAAGCAAAUAAACAAACAUAAUGCGCUACUAGGACCAUAAGAAUGUGUAUUCAAAUGCUUGCGAUUGACACCCAUUUGAACUUAGCAAUGAAACAUAUAUAAUGAGUUACGAGGACUAUAAGAAUGUGUACUCAAAAUAUCAAAAACUUAUUGGGGAUCAAAAGUACACAGUUUUUCAAAUUUUUUAGUGCAUUUGGACUGUUUUCCGCAGUAAUAAAAACAAAAUGAGAGUGCAUUUGACACCCUAAGGAACUUAAACAAAUAAACACAUAUAAUGCGGUACUAGGACCAUAAGAAUGUGCACUCAAAAUAUCAAAAGUUUAUUGGGUGUCAAAAGUACACCAUUUUUCUAUUUGAGUGCAUUUGGAUUGCUUUUCAUAUUAAUAAAAACAAACGUGCGUGCAGUUGACACCUAUUGGAACUCAAAGAAAUAAACAUAUAUAAUGCACUACUAGGGCCAUAAGAAUGUGUAAUCGAAAGUUCAAAAACUUUUUGGGUGUUAAAAGCACACAGUUUUUCUAGUUUGAGUGCAUUUGGACCGUUUUCCUCAUUAAUAAAAACAAUGAGCGUGCAUUUGACACCCUAAGGAACUUAAACAAAUAAACACGUAGAGUACAGUACUAGGACCGUAAGAAUGUGCACUCAAAAGAUCAAAAGUUUAUUGGGUGCCAAAAGUACACAAUUUUUCUAUUUGAGUGCAUUUGAAUUGUUUUCCAUAUUAAUAAGUACAAACGUGUGUGCGUUUGACAUCCAUUGGAACUUAAACAAAUAAACAUAUAUAAUGUGCUCCUAUGACCAUAAGAAUGUCUACUCGAGAGUUCAAAAGCUUUUUGGGUGUGGAAAGUGUUGGAAAUAUGCCCUGAAAGUCAAUCUUUGGAAGAAACCUUUCAGGACAAAUGAAUC
RNAcentral lists this long non-coding RNA (6958 nucleotides) under Malus domestica (apple). RNAcentral describes it as "long non-coding RNA (MDOM_LNC018289)". Lineage: Eukaryota; Viridiplantae; Streptophyta; Magnoliopsida; Rosales; Rosaceae. The record is from RNAcentral.